Molecule: long non-coding RNA, 579 nt
Organism: Odontomachus brunneus
Lineage: Eukaryota; Metazoa; Arthropoda; Insecta; Hymenoptera; Formicidae
Exons: 2
Source: RefSeq, a predicted model, not a curated record
AAACUUUAAUCCUUCGAGGGUGUAUGUAUCAUAUGUGUGCGCAGAUAAAAACCACGAGCCACUAGUGUAUAAUAUACAUAUAUGUAUAUUUAAAAAAAAUCAAUUAUUCUUUUGCGCUUUGGAUGAACUGAAUUGUAAGAAAGAACUUUUCUUCACACACUGGUGACACGGAAGUCUCGUUUUCAACAACUGCUAUUUGCAAGAAUGUGAUUGCUACAAAAGUAAUUUAUCAAACAAUAUAUAUAUGUAUUGCCAAUACUGUCAAGUAAUACUUUAUCUAUAAUGUGAAUUUUAUGAGAAAAAUAUAUUACACUUUUGAAACACGUACUUUUACGAUAGUAAGAAAAUUCGGUGUAGACUAUAGAAUUCGGUAUAGUACAUAGUUGUCGAUUCUGAGGUUACUUGGAGGAGACUAACAUAAUGUUUACUGAUAUUUGUGCUUAUCGUGGUAUCAUAGAUAUAUUUGUAUUUUCAGUACGUAAUGUAAGUAAAAAUCUGACAAAUCUUGAAUAUAAAUGAAACCGUUUCCACACACACACACACACACACACACACACACACACACACACACGCACGCAC